GUUUCUGCUGAGUUUCGCCGAUCAAAGCCAAAAUGUCGAGAGCAGCCUCAGAGAUUUUCCUUUUCUCAUAUGCAGGAGUUUAUCGGAGCCAUGCCUAUUUUCUCCAAGGAGCUUCUCGCCGGUGGAGUUUCCGGCGGCAUCGCUAAAACUGACGUAGCCCCUCUUGAACGAAUCAAGAUUCUUUUUUAGAAAGAUGAUAAAGUAUUGAGAAGUUCAGUAAACGAACCGUGAAGGUGAGUCUCUUUCAUUGUUUGAAGAUUGAGCUUGGAAAAGCUGUAUAUAUAUUUUUGCAGAAUUGAAGGGAUCAAAUUGCAUGUCUUUUUGGUUUAUUUUUAAAGGAAGUUAUAAAUAAAUCAGCAGUGUUUGGAUCAUGUUCUUUUUUGGUUUUGGGUGGUUCAGUAAGCUGCCAAAAUUUCAUUGUGUCAAGACUUUUCCCAGGAUUACUGGAAAAUACAUAGAUAGUAAUCUGAAGUGCUUAACAAGGUUUUGCCCCAUGUUAGUUGGUUUUGUUGGUUUCCGUCUCCUCUAACUGUACGAAUUUUAAAUGUCUGCAUUAGAUAAUUGAAAUAAUAUGAGGUGUCAUUUUGACUGUAAUAUUGAUGUGAUCCUUCAUGUCGGCCUUUGGUAGAAAAGAUUUUGAGCAACUGAUCAACCAGAACAAGUCAUAAGAUUAAGACAUAUAUACCGUGCCUUAUUGACAGUUCAUAGUUAUUAACUUAUUACGAAGUAUAUCAUAAGAAUUGACUCUAAACUGUAGUUUCUACUCACUCUACUGGCUGGAGUGGUUGAAUAGCUUUUUACAUCCAACUAUUUUUCAUCUCGCUUCAUCUUUUUCUAAACAUUACUAUCUUAUUGCCAUAUUUUUCAUCAAUUUGCAUUGCCUGUUAGUUUAUCCAGUGUUGCAGAUAAUUGUCUAUCUACACAGAUCACAUUUGUUAGGAUUUUCAAUCGACCUCCGUAUUUGGAAUCUUACUCAAGUGGGGUGAAUAUUAAGUCCAAAGCAUCCACACGUUGGCAAUGCAGACCAAGAAGAGACUUUCUUCAAAAGUUAGAGCCUUCUAGCUCUAUAAGACUGAGAUCUCAGAUGAAGGUAUCUGAAAAUGUUCCAGUUGCCGAGAUCGAAUAAGGCUGCAGUCUCAACUGCUUGAAAAUCUACCUAUGACCCAAGUGAUGCACACAAAGUGGUGCAGACCCACGUGAUGCAGAUCCAAAGUGGUGCAGACCCAAGUGAUGUAGAUCCAAAGUGGUGCAGAACUAAGUGAUGCAGACCUUUGUGAAAAUUCAUGUGGUGCAGACCCAAGUGAUGCAGACAAAGUGGUGCGGGCACAAGGUGGUGCAGAUCCAAAAUGAUUUGUGGUAAACUGAGUUUUAGGGAGCUAAUUGAUGAUGAAGAUAAUAUUUUUGGGUUGAAAAAGGCUCUGAUGGUGCAGACCCAAGUGAUGCAGUCAAAGUGGUUCAGACCCACCAAGUGAUGCAGAUCCAAAGUGGUUCAGACCCACCAAGUGAUGCAGAUCCAAAGUGGUGCAAACCCAAGUGAUGUUGGUUCAAAGUGGUUAAACUGGAUACAUAAGCUGGAUUAUGACUCCCCAUAAUCUAUUAUCCGGUUAUGACUCGCUCACAUGAUUGACCGUGCCCCAACAGGAUAAUCUAUUAUACCUUGAGAGAUCUACGUGAGUUGAAGACGGUAAUAAGUGAAUAACAAUUCAAAGAAUGGUGAGGUUAAGGAAGCGGAUGAAGCUGAUGAUAAUACCAAUUACCAAAUUUUCGUAAGGUGGGAUAAUGUGCUUGUUUUCCUGGAUAAACUAAAGGUUCCAAGGCAUUAGAGGAAUCAGAAAGCUUAAAACUGGCCAAAUUUCCUGGUUCUUUUAGCUUUCCUUAUUACCAAAGGAUGGGUGAAACUUAGUUGACACAGGAGGGAUGUGAAAAAUGAAGGGAAAUCAUUUAAUUACCCCGGCUAUUUUGUAACCGCCAACAUGUAGUUGGACAAGAUUUGGUCAUGAAUCAAAUCACUGGUUGUAUGUUAAAGAAUUAUAAUACAGUAAACUUUUGAUACAGUGUGUUAUAACUCUUUUAGAAUCAACAUUGUUUAUGUUGAAUGAUUUUAGUAUUUAGAUUACCUUACGUGGUCUAGGAAUUCAGGGUAUUUCAUAUGAACAUAGACCACUUGAAGUUUUAUGCUCCUAGGAAAUAACUACAUUUCUUAUCAUUUACUAUAUCCACGCUUUUAACUA
This is a long non-coding RNA of Spinacia oleracea (spinach), 2231 nucleotides long. RefSeq lists it as uncharacterized. The record is from RefSeq and is a predicted model, not a curated record. Lineage: Eukaryota; Viridiplantae; Streptophyta; Magnoliopsida; Caryophyllales; Amaranthaceae. The transcript has 8 exons.